GACAGUCUCCUCUGCUGAAGUCCAGGCUUCAUGGGAGACUGCCAAGGCUGUUUAUGUGGCAGCAGCACCAGCUCCUGUGAUGCAGAGCAUGUGCAACACAGAUGCAGCCUUCGGUGGUGCAGCUGCAAUACCUGCAACCUUAGAUGGAGCAGCUGGUACAGUCGGACCUGCAUCCCCUGAGGCAGCUGCUAAAGAGCCCGCUGAGGUGGAGCCAUAUCAGCUGCUAAACUUCCUAGAAUGUGAAAUGAUGGAUUUCUACGACGGUUGAUGUCAAGGUGACGUGGAAAGCCUGGGGUGACAACAAGUGAACCAGGACAUAAGGUCAAGCAUUGC
Molecule: long non-coding RNA, 333 nt
Organism: Ixodes scapularis (black-legged tick)
Lineage: Eukaryota; Metazoa; Arthropoda; Arachnida; Ixodida; Ixodidae
Exons: 3
Source: RefSeq, a predicted model, not a curated record